AGUUUAAUUUUGGACCCUUUGGACCUUAAUGUAGACCAAUUUAAAAAACGGGACUUAAAAUUAAAAAUCUAAAUACACGGUUAGAUUUGGAAUAUCAAAGAACCCCAAUAAUUCAAUUUUUGAUGAAAUCAAACAAAGUUUAAUUUUGGACCCUUUUGACCUCAAUAUGAACCAAUUUGAUAGCGGGGCCCACAAAUAAAAAUUCUAAAUUCAUGGUUAGAUUCAGCAUAUCAAAGAACCCCAUAUAUUCAAUUUUUGUUGAAAUCAAAAAAAGUUUAAUUUUGGACCCCAACUUGGACCAACUUGAAAACUGGGCCCAUAAUCAAAAAUCUAAAUACAUGUUUAGAUUCAGCAUAUCAAAGAACCCCAAGAAUUCAAUUUUUGUUAAAAUCAAACUAAGUUUAAUUUUGGACCCUUUGGACCUCAAUGAAGACCAAUUUAAAAAACGGGACCCAAAUUAAAAAUCUAAAAACACGGUUAGAUUUGGCAUAUCAAAGAACCCCAAUAAUUCAAUUUUCGAUGAAAUCAAACAAAUUUAAUUUUGGACCCUUUUGACCUCAAUAUGAACCAAUUUGAUAGCGGGGCCUACAAAUAAAAAAUCUAAAUACAUGGUUAGAUUCAGCAUAUCAAAGAACCUCAUAUAUUCAAUUUUUGUUGAAAUCAAACAAAGUUUAAUUUUGGACCCCAAUUUGGACCAACUUGAAAACUGG
Long non-coding RNA from Mytilus californianus (California mussel), 710 nucleotides. RefSeq lists it as uncharacterized. Lineage: Eukaryota; Metazoa; Mollusca; Bivalvia; Mytilida; Mytilidae. The record is from RefSeq and is a predicted model, not a curated record. The transcript is spliced from 2 exons.